This 29-nucleotide non-coding RNA is filed under the name Mus musculus (house mouse). The record is from RNAcentral. Lineage: Eukaryota; Metazoa; Chordata; Mammalia; Rodentia; Muridae.
UGGGAGAGUAGAUCUAUGUCCAAGGAAGA